CGGCAGGCUUAAUACAUGCAAGUCGAACGGUAACAGGUCCAGCAAUGGAUGCUGACGAGUGGCGCACGGGUGCGUAACACGUAUGCAACCUACCCAUCACCGGGGAAUAACCCUGAGAAAUUAGGGCUAAUACCCCAUGGUAUCCGAUUCCGGCAUCGGGAUUUGAUUAAAGAUUUAUCGGUGAUGGAUGGGCAUGCGCCCCAUUAGCUAGUUGGUGAGGUAACGGCUCACCAAGGCCACGAUGGGUAGGGGACCUGAGAGGGUUAUCCCCCACACUGGUACUGAGACACGGACCAGACUCCUACGGGAGGCAGCAGUAAGGAAUAUUGGGCAAUGGGCGCGAGCCUGACCCAGCCAUGCCGCGUGCAGGAAGACGGCCCUAUGGGUUGUAAACUGCUUUUACACGGGAAUAAUCGCCCCCACGUGUGGGGGUUUGCACGUACCGUGUGAAUAAGCACCGGCUAACUCCGUGCCAGCAGCCGCGGUAAUACGGAGGGUGCGAGCGUUAUCCGGAUUUAUUGGGUUUAAAGGGUGCGUAGGCUGGUACUUAAGUCAGUGGUGAAAUCCACCGGCUCAACUGGUGAACUGCCGUUGAUACUGGGUACCUAGAGUUUAGUUGACGCGGGCGGAAUGUGUCAUGUAGCGGUGAAAUGCAUAGAGAUGACACAGAACACCCGUAGCGAAGGCAGCUCGCGAAGCUAACACUGACGCUGAUGCACGAAAGCGUGGGGAUCAAACAGGAUUAGAUACCCUG
Molecule: ribosomal RNA, 754 nt
Filed under: uncultured bacterium
Lineage: Bacteria
Description: bacterial SSU rRNA
Rfam family: Bacterial small subunit ribosomal RNA
Source: RNAcentral